RNAcentral lists this ribosomal RNA (936 nucleotides) under uncultured Eubacteriales bacterium. Its description in RNAcentral is "bacterial SSU rRNA". It matches the Rfam family "Bacterial small subunit ribosomal RNA", at positions 382 to 1339 of the family's 1533-position model. Lineage: Bacteria; Bacillati; Bacillota; Clostridia; Eubacteriales. The record is from RNAcentral.
CCUGAUGCAGCACGCCGCGUGAGUGAUGAAGGCUUUCGAGUCGUAAAGCUCUUUGAUCAGGGAUGAUAAUGACAGUACCUGAAAAACAAGCCACGGCUAACUACGUGCCAGCAGCCGCGGUAAUACGUAGGUGGCGAGCGUUGUCCGGAAUUACUGGGCGUAAAGGAUGCGUAGGUGGAUAUUUAAGUGGGAUGUGAAAUCCCCGGGCUCAACCCGGGAACUGCAUUCCAAACUGGAUGUCUAGAGUGCAGGAGAGGAAAGCGGAAUUCCUAGUGUAGCGGUGAAAUGCGUAGAUAUUAGGAGGAACACCAGUGGCGAAGGCGGCUUUCUGGACUGUAACUGACACUGAGGCAUGAAAGCGUGGGUAGCAAACAGGAUUAGAUACCCUGGUAGUCCACGCCGUAAACGAUGGGUACUAGGUGUAGGAGGUAUCGACCCCUUCUGUGCCGUCGUUAACACAAUAAGUACCCCGCCUGGGGAGUACGGUCGCAAGACUAAAACUCAAAGGAAUUGACGGGGGCCCGCACAAGCAGCGGAGCAUGUGGUUUAAUUCGAAGCAACGCGAAGAACCUUACCUAGACUUGACAUCUCCUGCAUUACCCUUAAUCGGGGAAGCCCUUCGGGGCAGGAAGACAGGUGGUGCAUGGUUGUCGUCAGCUCGUGUCGUGAGAUGUUGGGUUAAGUCCCGCAACGAGCGCAACCCUUAUUUUUAGUUGCUACCAUUCAGUUGAGCACUCUAAAGAGACUGCCCGGGUUAACCGGGAGGAAGGUGGGGAUGACGUCAAAUCAUCAUGCCCCUUAUGUCUAGGGCUACACACGUGCUACAAUGGUGAGAACAAAGAGACGCAAGACCGCGAGGUGGAGCAAAUCUCACAAAACUCAUCCCCGUUCGGAUUGCAGGCUGAAACUCGCCUGCAUGAAGCCGGAGUUGCUAGU